This 240-nucleotide unclassified non-coding RNA is filed under the name soil metagenome. Its description in RNAcentral is "partial contains 5.8S ribosomal RNA, internal transcribed spacer 2, and large subunit ribosomal RNA". The record is from RNAcentral.
AAGACUAUAGACCUGCGGAGUACCUGCGGAAGGAUCAUUAUAGAGUUUUCUAAACUCCCAAACCCAUGUGAACUUACCAUUGUUGCCUCGGCAGAACCUACCCGGUACCUACCCUGGAACGAGCUACCCUGUAGCUACCCAGGAACGGGCUACCCUGUAACGUCCUGCCGGUGGACCUCUUAACUCUUGUUAUUUUUAUAGUAAUCUGAGCGUCUUAUUUUAAUAAGUCAAAACUUUUAA